Non-coding RNA from Mycena maculata, 103 nucleotides. The record is from the annotation of a GenBank genome assembly. NCBI's taxonomy places the organism in Eukaryota, Fungi, Basidiomycota, Agaricomycetes, Agaricales, Mycenaceae.
GCCUGCCUAGCUCAAUCGGAUAGAGCGUCAGACUUUUAAGGAGUCUCCCAGGUGGGUUACCUGUUCAAUCUGAAGGCUGCGAGUUCGACCCUCGCGGUGGGCU